CAUGAUGAUUCACACCUGUAAUCCCAGCUACCCAGGAGACUGAGGUGGCAGGAUCACUUGAGCCCAGGAGUUCAAGUCUGUAGUGAGUCAUGAUCAUGCCACUGCACUCCAGCCUGAGAGAGUGAGACCCUAUCUCAAAAAAAAAAAAAAAAAAAAAAAAAAAAUUAAAAACAGGAAACUUGAGAAUAUAAUUGGGAAAACUAAAUUUAUGAAAGUCAAUCAUGUUUUAUAUAUAGGUGAAGAAGAAUUGAUGGUGUGGAUGGCAUUUUCACAAUCAAGUCCUCUUGGGAAAACAUUUUGAGUACGUUAAAUUAAUUUUCAGGACCGACAUCAGCAAGGUGGUGGAAUAUGACUUUUCAGCAUUUAUUCACUUACAGAAACAUCCAUCAAAACAACUAUCCAUGUGCAAAAGUAUCUUCAUAAAAACUAAGGAAACCAGAUUCAGGGGGUGCACGUGCAAGUUUGUUACAUGUGUAUAUUGUGUGAUGCUGAGGAUACGAUUGAUCCCAUCACCCAGGUCUGAACUUCUAUAGGCUGCAGUCUGCCUGAUCCUCAGCAGGAAAUUUCUGCUUCAGGCUGCAGUAAUGCAGCAGCCCUUCUUUUGCUGCCUAGCUGUGAGUUGGCUCUGCUCCACAUGACUCUCGUCCUCUUCCUCAUAUCAGCGGGCUAGCCAGCGCAUGUGAUAGUGUUUGAGUAUUUGUCCCUUCCAAAUCUCAUGUUGAAAUGUGAUUCCUAACGUUAGAACUGAGGCUGAAUAGGAGAUGUUUUGGUCAUGGGGUUGGAUUUCUCAUGAAUGGCUUGGCAUCCUCCACUUAGUAAUGAGUAAGUUCUCACUCUAAGUUCAUGUGUGAUCUAGUUGUUUAAAAAAAGACUCUGGAAGCUCCCUGCUUCACUCUUUUGUUCCCUCUCUCGUCAUGUGACAUGUGACCAUGAAGUUCCCGUUUCACCUUCCACCAUGAAUAAAAGCUUUCUGAGGGUUUCAUCAGAAGCUGAGCAAAUGUUGGUGCCAUGCUUGUAUAGCCUACAGAACCAUAAGUCAAAUAAAUCUCUUUUCUUAAUAGGUUACCCAAUCUCAGGUAUUUCUUUAUAACAACACAAAAUGAAGUAUCACAGCAUGUUUACCACAAGUAAUAACAGAACUACAAGAAGGCAUGACCUGCUGCACAAGUGCUUUUAAAGCCCCUACUUGCAUCAUGACUAUUUCUAUUCUUGUGGCUAAAACAAGACACAUGGCUAAGCCUACAGUCAAGGGGCAGAGAAGUACACUCUCCCCUUAGUAAAAGAAUGGGAAGUUAUGUAACAAAGGGCAUGAAUACAGGUAGGCAAGAAGACUU
RNAcentral lists this long non-coding RNA (1334 nucleotides) under Homo sapiens (human). Its description in RNAcentral is "HSALNT0125093". The record is from RNAcentral. Lineage: Eukaryota; Metazoa; Chordata; Mammalia; Primates; Hominidae.